GAUGAACGCUAGCUACAGGCUUAACACAUGCAAGUCGAGGGGUAACGAGAGGGAAGCUUGCUUUCCUUGUCGACGACCGGCGCACGGGUGAGUAACGCGUAUCCAACCUGCCCCCAACUAGGGAAUAACCUUGCGAAAGUAAGACUAAUACCCUAUAAUUUCCUCAGAUGUCAUCUGACGAGGAAUAAAGAUUUAUCGGUUGUGGAUGGGGAUGCGUCUGAUUAGCUUGUUGGCGGGGUAACGGCCCACCAAGGCAACGAUCAGUAGGGGUUCUGAGAGGAAGGUCCCCACCAUUGGAACUGAGACACGGUCCAAACUCCUACGGGAGGCAGCAGUGAGGAAUAUUGGUCAAUGGGCGGAAGCCUGAACCAGCCAAGUAGCGUGCAGGAUGACGGCCCUAUGGGUUGUAAACUGCUUUUAUACAGGAAUAAAGUUAGCCACGUGUGGUUAUUUGUAGGUACUGUAUGAAUAAGGACCGGCUAAUUCCGUGCCAGCCGCCGCCGUAA
RNAcentral lists this ribosomal RNA (506 nucleotides) under uncultured bacterium. RNAcentral describes it as "partial 16S ribosomal RNA". It matches the Rfam family "Bacterial small subunit ribosomal RNA", at positions 28 to 523 of the family's 1533-position model. The record is from RNAcentral.